RNAcentral lists this ribosomal RNA (314 nucleotides) under uncultured fungus. Its description in RNAcentral is "partial small subunit ribosomal RNA". It matches the Rfam family "Eukaryotic small subunit ribosomal RNA", at positions 30 to 357 of the family's 1831-position model. The record is from RNAcentral. Lineage: Eukaryota; Fungi.
GCUUGUCUCAAAGAUUAAGCCAUGCAUGUCUAAGUAUAAACUGCUUAUACUGUGAAACUGCGAAUGGCUCAUUAAAUCAGUCAUAAUUUAUUUGAUGGUACCUACUACUCGGAUAACCGUAGUAAUUCUAGAGCUAAUACAUGCAUUAAACCCCGACUUCUGGAAGGGGUGUAUUUAUUAGAUGGAAACCAAUGCGGGGCAACCCGGAAUAUGGUGAUUCAUAAUAACUUUCGGAUCGAUUUAUCGAUGCAUCAUUCAAGUUUCUGCCCUAUCAGCUUUGGAUGGUAGGGUAUUGGCCUACCAUGGCUUUAACG